UUUGGGAGAUCGAUUCUGUGUUUCACCCUGCUCUGUAAUAAUCUCUCAAGGACAGCGUAGUGUUGCUUAAUUUAUUGCAAAAUAAGUGGUGGUAGUAGUAUUAAUCUGGUAGUAGAUUCUGAUUAAAAAAUUUCUAUUCUGUAAGAAAAUCGAAAGAAAUGAAUAUUUAUCAUAAGGAAGAGCGAAUAGUAUGGAAUUACAUAACCUUCUACAUGUCAUUUAAAAUUACCUCAAAUGAUUUUAAAUUACUAGACAAUUAGGUUAUUUGUCAACGAAGUAGUUGAUGUUCCCGGCUUUUCAUUAAAACUUUAAUAAAGCCAAAUUUGCCAACUUCAAUGCCAAAAUAUUUGACUGUCAAAUAUACUAAGUAGUAAUUACAAUACUAAUUCUAAGAUAUGUUGGAUAUAAUUUCUUUGGUGCAAGGUGAGUUAAAUGUAAAAAUGGAUAUUCCUUUCAUAGAUUUAUUAGAUAAUAGUUAGAAACACAAAAUAUCACAAUAUGCACUAACCUUACUCUGGUGGUUGGGAGUAUUAAAUUAGUGGCUACAUCCUUUUGUAUACAAUGGUUUUGGGUCGCAUGUGUUAACAGUCGAACGUAAUUUUGUGCAAUAACAAAAGUAACGACAAUUCUAGUCAUAACUAAAAAUUAUUCGAAUUGAGACCAAUGACUUAUGCCAAAGAAAAACCUCGUAAACACGUUUGCAAUACCUGCAAUAAACAGUUCUUGGGUAGUAAUGAUUUGCGCAAGCAUAUGCGCAUUCAUUCAAAUGAACGUCCGUUUAUUUGUAAUGAGUGUAAUAGAGCAUUCCGGCAGGCCGGCUCAUUAAAGAACCAUAUAGCAUCACAACACUCAACGAACAUAAAAAGUCUAGAAAUGUACGUAUGCGAUUUUUGUCAAAAGGCAUUUCCAAUUAAAGAACGUCUGCGCUUGCACUUACGUACGCAUACAGGUUUAAAACCCUACCUGUGUUCGGUAUGUCCGAAGUCGUUUGCUCGUGGUGGUCAACUGGUACAGCACAUGCGCACUCACACAGGCUCUCGUCCCUACAUUUGUAAUAUUUGUGAAUCAUCGUUCACGUGUUCAGCGAACCUUAAGUCACAUAUUAAACGACAUCAGGAAAUUCGCGAUUAUGUUUGCGAUCUUUGUGGAAAAUCCUUUUUUCGACGAGAUGCUCUAAAGAAACACCUUAAUUGUUAUCAUGCAAAUGUUCGUGCUUUUCACUGCAAAAUAUGCAACAAGAUGCUUAAGGGACAUUUACCGCAACAUAUGCGUCUACACCGAAAUGAGAAGCCCCAUGGUUGUGCGCAUUGCCGGGCUCGGUUCGCACAGCGAUCACAACUCACUGUACAUCAACGUAUACACAGUGGUGAAAAACCUUAUAGAUGUCAAGUUUGUUGGAAAGCAUUCGCACAUUCUACCGCUCUUAAAUUACACACUAGACGUCAUACGGGAGAAAAACCAUUUCGUUGCAUUUUAUGUGAUAAUGUUGCUUUUUCACAAUUGCCGCAUCUUAAGAAGCACAUGUUCUGUAUUCAUAAAUCGGAUAAACCAUAUGUUUGCCAAUACUGUAGAUCUUUUUAUCGUACAAAAAAUGAUUUAGAACAUCAUCAGAGCGAUUGUGUCAAAGCUCCUGAUAGAGACGAGACUAAAGUAAUUGUUAAUGGUGUGGAACCACCUAUGCGAAUAGAAAAGAUGCGGUUAUUAUUGGCAGUUUUAUUAAAAAAAAUUUCUGCACCGGAACGGCUAGAGGAAUUGGGGUUUAAUAGAAAACUGAUUGAUGACGUGCUCAUGGAAUCGAUUGAAGGAUCUGGAAGAGAACCAUGUCAUGAUCCCACUCUUUCAGAUGCUGAAAGGUUAAAAACCAAUGUGCAAAUUCUUCUAGAUUGGACAGUUCCCAAACAUUACAUGGAAAAGUUUAAAAACGAGCAGCGUUCUACCGAAGAACUCUUAGAGGAAUUGACAUCAUAAUUUUAAUUAACUGUUACAGAUCAAGAAUUCUAAGAUGUAGAUUAAUAUUUUGUUUUAGGCUAUUAAAAGGAAAACAAAUUCUAAACCAAUUCUGUGCAAUUACGGCGAGUAGGACGUACUGUAUUUAAAACAAAGGAAUUUGUAGAGAAAACGAAGAAAUUAUUUAUAGAAGUACAGAUAAUUAAUUAAUUUUAAUUGGUCUUUAUAUCUCCUUAAUAACGACAUGGGAUUUAUUUUACUGUUUAUAAAUUAUUUGAACAAGACGUACCUACUCUCUUCGCCAGUGAAUACACCAAAGAUAUAUUUGAUGUCUUAUUAUAGAUUGAAAUAAGGCUUGGCCAUUUGAUAUUUAAUAGUAGGGUCAUUCUAUAAAAUGCAUUUAUGAUGUUUACAUAUGUAAAAAGUUAUCAUGCCACAUAAUGUUGCCAUAGCAUAAUUUUACGAAAAAAGAAAUGUAAAAUGUGUUUUCUAAUUAACGAGAAGUUGUACUUUUUUGUCUUUUAUUAAUUUAUAUUUUUGUUAAUCAGGUAGUAUACAAUUUGAGGUAUAGUUGACCAAAGAGCUUCACAAAAUUUAAUAGUAUAUUUUUAUUAUAAUAAUUAUAUUUUGUUAUAGAUUAUAGGUAUCAUUAAAGUUGUUAUAGUAUUGUUUUUAACAGUAGGGUAUGCUGUAUAGGUUAUACUCGGAUCUCAAAGGAUAAUUAUUGAGUAAUUAAACCAGCAAUUGUUUUGACUUUUACACGCUACCUGAAUUAUUAAUCUGUUAACUGGUAAGUUUUGGUUAAGCUAUUGACAUCUGACAUAGAGAUAAAGUUUGGUUUACAUUAUUAGUACAACAGAAAAAAGCGGUUGUUUAACAGGUAUUUUAGAGGGGAUGAUUGUACGUUUUGGUAAUAUUAUUUUACUAAGAUUCUUUGUUUUUUCUUUUAGUAAACACAUGCAUUUCUGGAGCAGUAUACCACAUAUAUAACUAAAUAUUGACUGCUGAUUAUACAUUGACAGUUGUUAUGUAUCCAGGUAUUUUAUUUUAAUAGAAGAAAAUUUUCUCCAAGUUAUAUUUUGUCUCUUGCUUCAUUUUUACUCUUAUUGUCAAACACAUACUUAAUUAAUAACCAUGUUGUUACUGUGCAUGGAGAAUUUAUUAUUUAUUUGUAUUUGGUUUCGGUUCAUCAAGAUUCUGGUUACUUUAACAGUAUUGCCUAGUAAAUUAGAAAAGGAAUCAUACAAAGUGAUUUCUCUAACUUUUAGUUCUUAUAAGCAACCGUAUGCGUUUUUUGCCAAAAGAAACUCGUACUUGAUUUUGAACAUUGCGAAAUCGAAUAGAUAAAUUUUUAUUGAUUUUACUCCAUAACUUUAACAGUGUAGAACUUCUCGAUGUUAUUUUUUGGAUGCCAUAAAAAUUCUUACACUUUCAUAGCAGCUAAGUAAUCGAUUCAACUAAGGUAGCUAUCAUAAUAGAUUAUGUCAAAGACAACAUAGCAUGGUUAAUGUCAGGCCCCGACAGUAAAUUUUUUAAUUUGAUUUUAUUAGGGGAUGCUUAUAACAAAAAGAACUCUAGGUUGUUAUUAUCUACAUGUACAUUAAUAUUUGAAUUAAGAAGGUAGAACUAUGCUUUACUAAAGGACAAUAAGGUGUUUCAAAGGCUUUUGAUCUCAAUGUUUUUUUUACCUGAAAGGCAUUUUUAGGGUUCCGUGGUGAACUAAUAACUCUUCGAGUUUCGGUUUGCUUGUGAGUCUGUAAACCAGUUCUCUUAUACUCGUUAUUUAUUUUCCAUUAUGACGGCAUAAAACAUGAUGGCAUUAAAAUAAAAAAGCGAGGAUUUCAUACUAUAGGGUGAUAACUUGAUUUUCUAUUAUUAGUAGCAUAAUAAUUCCAAUAAUGUGUGUUGAGAACAACAGCCAAUGGAAGUACCUUAUCCUUUAUUUCUACCGUUGCUUUUUGUUAAGUGCUCAGUGAAAUUCAUUUUUUUCUUUUUUGUUUCAUCACGAAAAACUCCUAGAGCUACUUCUAGUCCAGAAACUUAUUUUCUUGUUAGUAUGUUUUAUCUUCAGGCUGUCUAUAUUUGAUAAUAAAAGUCGUUAAGUACA
This 4054-nucleotide unclassified non-coding RNA is filed under the name Agrilus planipennis (emerald ash borer). Its description in RNAcentral is "zinc finger protein OZF-like, transcript variant X2". The record is from RNAcentral. Lineage: Eukaryota; Metazoa; Arthropoda; Insecta; Coleoptera; Buprestidae.